This is a long non-coding RNA of Brassica oleracea var. oleracea, 566 nucleotides long. RefSeq lists it as uncharacterized. The transcript is spliced from 3 exons. Lineage: Eukaryota; Viridiplantae; Streptophyta; Magnoliopsida; Brassicales; Brassicaceae. The record is from RefSeq and is a predicted model, not a curated record.
UCGAAAUCCACAGAUAAGUGAUGUUUCAGUUUCUCUUCUUCACAUGCAAAAUCAAACUGUUCGGUUCAGUUUUUGUUGUUGACAUAAUCUACUAAUUUUGCAUUAAUACCGAAUCAAUCUCUCUCAUUUCAUCAUCUAGUUUCCAAGGAAAGAAGAAAAGAAAAGUUUUUCUGUUAGUUUUGUUUUCUCGGAAGAAACUAGAUUCUGACUUUGAUCAACGAUCCUUUAGCUCUAACUCUUUCUGUGUUUACUGGUUAGAUAUGUGUAUACUUUGUUUUAAUGAUCGUUUUCAAUUCAACAGGACGCCAAGGAACAUAUUUCUGUAUUGGCUUCGUCUCUACCAGACAAAAUGGGUUGAGGGCGAUGUGAACAAGGUUACACAUCCAGUUCAUCGACAAGCAAACACAAUGUGAGACUGUUGUUGUUAAUUACGACAGGGACCUUGAGGUCGAGAGUCAACCACUUCUUCAGAGUCUCGUUACGAGACAAAGAAGUCAGAAGUCUUGGUGUCGGUUUUGCUAGAGAGGUCACGAGAUGGUGUUGUCACAAGCAAUAGAAGUCAUGCG